RNAcentral lists this ribosomal RNA (467 nucleotides) under uncultured bacterium. Its description in RNAcentral is "bacterial SSU rRNA". It matches the Rfam family "Bacterial small subunit ribosomal RNA", at positions 355 to 825 of the family's 1533-position model. The record is from RNAcentral.
UAGGGAAUAUUGGACAAUGGGUGAGAGCCUGAUCCAGCCAUGCCGCGUGCAGGAAGAAGGCGUUAUGCGUUGUAAACUGCUUUUUGCCAGGGGAUAAAAAGACCGUGCGCGGUUAAUUGAAGGUACCUGGUGAAUAAGCCACGGCUAACUACGUGCCAGCAGCCGCGGUAAUACGUAGGUGGCAAGCGUUGUCCGGAUUUAUUGGGUUUAAAGGGUGCGUAGGUGGCCCUGUAAGUCAGUGGUGAAAUAUCUCAGCUUAACUGAGAGGGUGCCAUUGAUACUGCAGGGCUUGAGUACAGAUGAGGUAGGCGGAAUUGACGGUGUAGCGGUGAAAUGCGUAGAGAUCGGAAAGAACACUCGUGGCGAAGGCGGCUUUCUGGCCCAUAACUGACGCUGAGGUGCGAAAGCAUGGGGAGCAAACAGGAUUAGAUACCCUCGUAGUCCCUGAGCGGGCUGGCAAGGCGCAU